AUUGUACUCCCUCCGUUCUGAAUUACUUAUCGCAUGUGUGGAUGUAUCUAGAUGUAUUUUAGUUUUAGAUACAUCCAUUUCAGCGACACGAGUAAUUUGGAACGGAGGGAGUAUAUA
Molecule: non-coding RNA, 117 nt
Organism: Triticum aestivum (bread wheat)
Lineage: Eukaryota; Viridiplantae; Streptophyta; Magnoliopsida; Poales; Poaceae
Source: Rfam